This 515-nucleotide ribosomal RNA is filed under the name uncultured bacterium. RNAcentral describes it as "partial 16S ribosomal RNA". It matches the Rfam family "Bacterial small subunit ribosomal RNA", at positions 28 to 523 of the family's 1533-position model. The record is from RNAcentral.
GAUGAACGCUGGCGGCGUGCCUAAUACAUGCAAGUCGAGCGAAUGGAUUAAGAGCUUGCUCUUAUGAAGUUAGCGGCGGACGGGUGAGUAACACGUGGGUAACCUGCCCAUAAGACUGGGAUAACUCCGGGAAACCGGGGCUAAUACCGGAUAACAUUUUGAACCGCAUGGUUCGAAAUUGAAAGGCGGCUUCGGCUGUCACUUAUGGAUGGACCCGCGUCGCAUUAGCUAGUUGGUGGGGUAACGGCUCACCAAGGCAACGAUGCGUAGCCGACCUGGGAGGGUGAUCGGCCACGCUGGGACUGCGACACGGCCCAGACUCCUACGGGGGGCAGCAGUAGGGAAUCUUCCGCAAUGGACGAAAGUCUGACGGAGCAACGCCGCGUGAGUGAUGAAGGCUUUCGGGUCGUAAAACUCUGUUGUUAGGGAAGAACAAGUGCUAGUUGAAUAAGCUGGCACCUUGACGGUACCUAACCAGAAAGCCACGGCUAACUACGUGCCAGCAGCCGCGGUAA